Molecule: ribosomal RNA, 686 nt
Filed under: Campylobacter jejuni
Lineage: Bacteria; Pseudomonadati; Campylobacterota; Epsilonproteobacteria; Campylobacterales; Campylobacteraceae
Description: partial 23S ribosomal RNA
Rfam family: Bacterial large subunit ribosomal RNA
Source: RNAcentral
AAGUAUAGCCAUAGAGGGUGAUAGUCCCGUAUGCGAAAAACAAAGCUUAGCUAGCAGUAUCCUGAGUAGGGCGGGACACGAGGAAUCCUGUCUGAAUCCGGGUCGACCACGAUCCAACCCUAAAUACUAAUACCAGAUCGAUAGUGCACAAGUACCGUGAGGGAAAGGUGAAAAGAACUGAGGUGAUCAGAGUGAAAUAGAACCUGAAACCAUUUGCUUACAAUCAUUCAGAGCACUAUGUAGCAAUACAGUGUGAUGGACUGCCUUUUGCAUAAUGAGCCUGCGAGUUGUGGUGUCUGGCAAGGUUAAGCAAACGCGAAGCCGUAGCGAAAGCGAGUCUGAAUAGGGCGCUUAGUCAGAUGCUGCAGACCCGAAACGAAGUGAUCUAUCCAUGAGCAAGUUGAAGCUAGUGUAAGAACUAGUGGAGGACUGAACCCAUAGGCGUUGAAAAGCCCCGGGAUGACUUGUGGAUAGGGGUGAAAGGCCAAUCAAACUUCGUGAUAGCUGGUUCUCUCCGAAAUAUAUUUAGGUAUAGCGUUGUGUCGUAAUAUAAGGGGGUAGAGCACUGAAUGGGCUAGGGCAUACACCAAUGUACCAAACCCUAUCAAACUCCGAAUACCUUAUAUGUAAUCACAGCAGUCAGGCGGCGAGUGAUAAAAUCCGUCGUCAAGAGGGAAACAACCCAG